UUUUUUUUUUUUAGAUUUUAUUUUUUAUUUAUUCAUGAGAGACAGAGAGAGAGAGGCAGAGAGACAUAGGCAGAGGGAGGAAGCAGAAGCCCAAUGGGGAACUUGUUCCCAGGACUCCAGGAUCACACCCUGAGCCGAAGGGAGAUGCUCAACCGCUGAGCCACCCAGGUGUCCCUCAAGCCAAGAGUUAAGAUAGUUAGUAGAGUUGGGUGAGGUAAAAUUUUUAAGAUAUAAGGGGAGUGACUCUAGGGGCCAAUAAAUUGUCAAUGCAAUAUGGGGUAGUAGAUAAUAUGGUCUAAUAACAAGAGAGUAAAAGCCUUAUGUUUUUAAGAAUUCAGGAAACAGAAAUAUCUGGAAACAGCAAUGAGGAUCAUCCAUCUUACCUCCAGGAUUUACUGUUUACAUUGUUUUAAAAAAAGUGUAAAUAAUAUCUGUGUUCAAAAAUACAAUCAGGGCAGCCCUGGUGGCCUAGUGGUUUAGCGCUGCCUUCAGCCCAGGGUGUGAUCCUGGAGACUGGGGAUCGAGUUCCACAUCAGGCUCCCUGCAUGGAGCCUGCUUCUCCCUCUGCCUCUCUCUCUUUCUCUCUGUAUCUGUUGUCUCUGUCAUAAAUAAAUAAAAAAUCUUUAAAAAAAAAUAGAAUCAUGUAAAAAAAAUAUAAUCAUGUUAGACUAUUUUUAAAAAUACAAGUGUCCUCGGGGUGCCUGGGUGGCUUAGUCAGUUAAGCAUCUGCCUUUGGCUCAGGUCAUGAUCCCAGGGUCCUGGGAUCAAGCCCCAUGGCAGGCUCCUUGUUCAGCAUGGAGUGUGCUUCUCCCUCUCCCUCUGCUCUUCCCCUUGCUCAAAUAAAUAAAAAAUAAAAAAUCUUAAAAAAAAAAAAUACAGUGCUCUUGGGGCACCUGGGUGGCUCAGUUAAGCUUCUGCUUCUGACUCCUAAUUUUGGCUCAGGUCAUGAUCUCGGGGUCAUGAGAUGGAGCUCUGCCUUGUACUCAUGCUGGACAUGGAGCCUACUUAAGAUUCUCUUUCUCCCUCUACCUCCAUACCCUCCAGUCUUAUCUUUCUAUACACCCUCAAUAUGUUGAAAGAGUUCCAAAUUUACAUCUUUAGCCUGGACCAUCACCUAUCCUAACUCCAUUCUUAAAAACCCAACUGCUGGGGAUCCCUGGUGUUUGUUAUACAAUGGGGCCAUAAUACAUAUUUGAUGAUGAAUGGCAGGGAGGGGCAGAGAGAGAGGGAGAGAAUAUCUUAAGCAGGCACUGCACCCAGUGUGGAGCCCAAUGUGGGGCUCAAUUUCACACCCUGAGCCAAAAUCAAGAGUCAGGCCCUUAACUGACUGAGCCACCCAGGUGCCUCUAAACAUCCACUUUUAUAAGCAACCUGGACUUUUUACAAUGUGCUGACAUGGAAAGGUCUGACAAGAUGGGGUUUGACAAGUUAGCAGUGGGGCUAUACACUCUAUAUAAUCAUAUACACAUAUGUGUAUAUAUGUUUGUAUGUAUGUAUGUAUAUAUGUAUACAUCAUAAACCACCAAGUUGCCCCAUCACUAAACAAUCUAGUUUGGGAACCACAAGGAAUUUAGUGACCUAAACCUCACAAUUUUUUCUUCCCAGAGUACCAUCACCAAUUCUGUAGUCCGAAUAUCUUCUUCUUCUUUUUUUUUUUUCAUUUUUAUUUAUUUAUGAUAGUCACACAGAGAGAGAGAGAGAGGCAGAGACACAGGCAGAGGGAGAAGCAGGCUCCAUGCCGGGAGCCCGACGUGGGAUUCGAUCCCGGGUCUCCAGGAUCACGCCCUGGGCCAAAGGCAGGUGCCAAACCGCUGCGCCACCCAGGGAUCCCGUCCGAAUAUCUUCAUGACAAGAGCCAUUAGUACCUUCUUGUGUAUCCCCUGAAAAAUACUUUAACUGGGAUCAUCUGCCCUAUACAUUCAAAACUAAUUAGAUAAAAGGCUGAAAGAGGCACCUUGGUGGCUUAGUCAGUUAAGCAUCAAAUUCUUGGUGUCAGCUCAGGUCAUGAUCUCAGGGUCAUGAGAUCUAGCCCUGCCACGGGAUUCGUGAUCAGCACCGAGUCUGCUUGAGAUUCUUUUCCUCUCCCUCCCCCUCUGCUCCUCCUAACCCCACUCCCACUUACAUAUGCACACCUGCACAUACACACUCUCUCACUUAAAUAUUUUUUUAAAAGGCUAAAAACAAAACUGUCUGAACUGACUAAACCAUAUAUACAAGGCUGUCUAUAAAGUAAUGGAUUACAUUGUACUAUGUUGGUUGUGAACAGUAUAAAAGGCCUUAAAGCUAUUACAGUUCAUAUAUCUCCUUCCUAGUCCUUAUCCACCUUCUCCCCACCUUAAUCCCUCACAAUUCCAUCAGUGCACCAAAUUUUAAAAGAAUUUUUAAAGGAAUUGAACAACAAUAUAAGUCUGGCAGAAAUCUGAAAUCACUCCAGGCUCAAACUUUAAAUCAUUUGCCUGUUGAGAACAGCCCUCAGAUGACUGUGACUCAGCAUUUUAUGGUGCCUGAGACAUGAAAUGAGAUAAAGGUCUUGUUCCCUUCAUGGCAUUAGCUAAAUAUGGAGCUAAAAUGAAAGAGCUACCUUAAAAACAAGAGUCAGUGGCUGAAGUGUUACAGUGCUCACACUGACACAGGUUUGACUCAAUAUGUGAUGACAGGGAAGAGAGUAUAUGUCAACUGAAACACACAGAACUGUUCUAAAAUAACCCAUUGACCUAUAAAGCUAGCAAAUAAUAUGGAUUGCAACUAACACUCAGAAAGGGAGAAAAUAUACAUAAAUGAAAACAAAAUUAAAAUAUGAACUAUGGUGCUGGUUUAGAGACAGGUAAAAAAUAACUUAGAGCUAAGGAGGGAAUUUAUCCUACUAUUCUUCAAUGGACUAUCAGAAGCUAAAAUUGAACAAGUGAGAAUUUUUUUCCUCUUGUUAAAAAAAAAAAAAAAAAAA
This 2944-nucleotide long non-coding RNA is filed under the name Canis lupus familiaris (dog). Its description in RNAcentral is "lncRNA (ENSCAFG00845004963.1)". Lineage: Eukaryota; Metazoa; Chordata; Mammalia; Carnivora; Canidae. The record is from RNAcentral.